CAGUAUGGCCAUACCAUCCUGGAUAUGUCUGAUCUCAGAAACUAAGCAGUGUGAGGCCUGGUUAGUGCUUGGAUGGGAGACCUCCCGGGAACGCCAGCUUCUAUAGGCU
This 109-nucleotide ribosomal RNA is filed under the name Rattus norvegicus (Norway rat). The record is from RNAcentral. Lineage: Eukaryota; Metazoa; Chordata; Mammalia; Rodentia; Muridae.